GUUGUUGCAGUUAAAAAGCUCGUAGUUGAAUUUCGGGAUCAAUGUUUCGGUCAUGCCGUUGGUAUGUACUGAUAUUAUCGGUUUCUCACCUUCUAAAGAACCGUAAUGCCAUUAAUUUGGUGUCACGGGGAAUUAGGACUGUUACCUUGAAAAAAUUAGAGUGUUUAAAGCAGGCUCACGCUUGAAUACAUUAGCAUGGAAUAAUGAAAUAGGACAUCCGAUUCUAUUUUGUUGGUUUCUAGGAUCGAUGUAAUGAUUAAUAGGGAUAGUUGGGGGCAUUAGUAUUCAAUUGUCAGAGGUGAAAUUCUUGGAUUUAUUGAAGACUAACUACUGCGAAAGCAUUUGCCAAGGAUGUUUUCAUUAAUCAAGAACGAAAGUUAGGGGAUCGAAGACGAUCAGAUACCGUCGUAGUCUUAACCAUAAACUAUGCCGACUAGGGAUCGGAUGAUGUUAAUUUUUUAAUGACUCAUUCGGCGCCUUACGGGAAAC
Molecule: ribosomal RNA, 489 nt
Filed under: uncultured Glomeraceae
Lineage: Eukaryota; Fungi; Glomeromycota; Glomeromycetes; Glomerales; Glomeraceae
Description: SSU rRNA
Rfam family: Eukaryotic small subunit ribosomal RNA
Source: RNAcentral